This 563-nucleotide ribosomal RNA is filed under the name uncultured organism. RNAcentral describes it as "bacterial SSU rRNA". It matches the Rfam family "Bacterial small subunit ribosomal RNA", at positions 338 to 900 of the family's 1533-position model. The record is from RNAcentral.
CCUACGGGAGGCAGCAGUGAGGGAUAUUGCGCAAUGGAGGCAACUCUGACGCAGCCAUGCCGCGUGCAGGAAGAAGGCGCUUACGCGUUGUAAACUGCUUUUGAUCGGGAAGAAACCCCGGGACGUGUCCCGGAUUGACGGUACUGAUGGAAUAAGCACCGGCUAACUUCGUGCCAGCAGCCGCGGUAAUACGAAGGGUGCAAGCGUUAUCCGGAUUCAUUGGGUUUAAAGGGUGCGUAGGCGGAACAAUAAGUCAGUGGUGAAAGCCCGCAGCUUAACUGCGGAAUUGCCGUUGAUACUGUUGUUCUUGAGUACGCUUGACGUGGGCGGAAUGUGCCGUGUAGCGGUGAAAUGCUUAGAUAUGGCACAGAACACCGAUAGUGAAGACAGCUCACGAAGGCGAAACUGACGCUGAGGCACGAAAGCGUGGGGAUCAAACAGGAUUAGAUACCCUGGUAGUCCACGCCGUAAACGAUGAUCACUCGUGGUUGGCGAUAUACGGCCAGUCACCUAGCGAAAGCGUUAAGUGAUCCACCUGGGGAGUACGUUCGCAAGAAUGAAAC